This 433-nucleotide ribosomal RNA is filed under the name uncultured bacterium. RNAcentral's name for it is "partial 16S ribosomal RNA". It matches the Rfam family "Bacterial small subunit ribosomal RNA", at positions 29 to 507 of the family's 1533-position model. The record is from RNAcentral.
AACGAACGCUGGCGGCAUGCCUAACACAUGCAAGUCGAACGAGACCUUCGGGGCUUGUGGCGCACGGGUGCGUAACGCGUGGGAACCUGCCCUUAGGUUCGGAAUAACUCCCCGAAAGGGGUGCUAAUACCGGAUAAUGUCUUCGGACCAAAGAUUUAUCGCCUUUGGAUGGGCCCGCGUUGGAUUAGCUAGUUGGUAGGGUAAAAGCCUACCAAGGCGACGUUCCAUAGCUGGUCUGAGAGGAUGAUCAGCCACACUGGGACUGAGACACGGCCCAGACUCCUACGGGAGGCAGCAGUGGGGAAUAUUGGACAAUGGGCGAAAGCCUGAUCCAGCAAUGCCGCGUGAGUGAUGAAGGCCUUAGGGUUGUAAAGCUCUUUUACCCGGGAUGAUAGUGACAGUACCGGGAGAAUAAGCUCCGGCUAACUCCGUG